This is a long non-coding RNA of Portunus trituberculatus (swimming crab), 199 nucleotides long. RefSeq lists it as uncharacterized. Lineage: Eukaryota; Metazoa; Arthropoda; Malacostraca; Decapoda; Portunidae. The record is from RefSeq and is a predicted model, not a curated record. The transcript has 3 exons.
AACACGGUGACCGCCCCGCUUGCCCCACCUAGUCCACCAGCUCCACCUGCUCAGUGAAAGGGGAUGUGCCAGUGUGUUUGUCCAGGUGAGGAAUGCUUCGUACAGAGCGUUGUUUGUCAAUAGUUGCCUGAAGUGGUAUCAGGGGCCUAACGCCAUCUCCUACCAGGAGGCGGCGGAGCUGGUUGUGGGCUACCACUGC